UGCCAGCCGCCGCGGUAAUACAGAGGGUGCAAGCGUUAAUCGGAAUUACUGGGCGUAAAGCGCACGUAGGUGGGCAAGUCAGUUGUUGGUGAAAAGCUCGGGCUUAACCUGAGUCUGCCCAGCAAAACUGCUAGCCUAGAGUGUAUUAGAGGGAAGUGGAAUUUCCGGUGUAGCAGUGAAAUGCGUAGAUAUCGGAAGGAACACCAGUGGCGAAGGCGACUUCCUGGAAUACUACUGACACUGAGGUGCGAAAGCGUGGGGAGCAAACAGGAUUAGAUA
RNAcentral lists this ribosomal RNA (279 nucleotides) under uncultured bacterium. RNAcentral's name for it is "partial 16S ribosomal RNA". It matches the Rfam family "Bacterial small subunit ribosomal RNA", at positions 506 to 784 of the family's 1533-position model. The record is from RNAcentral.